GCAGAAGCAGAAGCAACACAGAAAGAAGAUACCAACAGCCUCCUGAAACUCACGAGAGUGGACACUCCAGUGUUGACCACCUAAGAUACCACUCCUGCUCCAAAGAUUACAGCUCCCUUGUCAUUCUGACUCCUGGGCUUACCCUACACCCCAGAGAUGGAGCAACUACUAGGAAUAAAACUUGGCUGCCUGUUUGCCCUGUUGGCUCUCACUCUGGGCUGUGGCCUCACUCCCAUCUGCUUCAAAUGGUUCCAGAUUGAUGCAGCCAGAGGUCAUCACCGGCGAGUCCUCAGACUCCUGGGCUGUAUUUCUGCUGGUGUUUUCCUGGGAGCAGGAUUCAUGCAUAUGACUGCUGAAGCCCUGGAGGAAAUUGAAUCACAGAUUCAGAAGUUCAUGGUGCAGGUGAGAGCAGAGAUUUCAAGCCGCAGGUCUAUGAGGCCAAAACGAUAAACAGGACAAAGGGAAGAGAGCGGGAAAGUGAUGGAGCCAAGGACAUGGGUGGAACGACAAGGAAAAUGACAGCUCUUUUGUGGGAUGGUGAAAGCAAGUCAGAUUAGGCUUUA
This 563-nucleotide small RNA is filed under the name Pan troglodytes (chimpanzee). Its description in RNAcentral is "retained intron". The record is from RNAcentral. Lineage: Eukaryota; Metazoa; Chordata; Mammalia; Primates; Hominidae.